AUUGAACGCUGGCGGCAUGCCUUACACAUGCAAGUCGAACGGUAACGGGCCUUCGGGUGCCGACGAGUGGCGAACGGGUGAGUAAUACAUAGGCACGUGCCCGAUCGUGGGGGAUAACGAGGCGAAAGCUUUGCUAAUACCGCAUACGAUCUUCGGAUGAAAGCAGGGGACCGCAAGGCCUUGCGCGGACGGAACGGCAGAUGGCAGAUUAUGUAGUUGGUGGGGUAAAAGCGUCCCAAGCCGACGAUCUGUAGCUGGUCUGAGAGGAUGAAUAGCCACCCUGGGACUGUGACGAGGCCCAGACUCCUACGGUAGGCAGCAGAGGGGAAUGUUGGACAAUGGGCGCAAGGCUGAUCCAGCCAUGCCGCGUGCAGGAUGAAGGCCUUCUGGUUGUAAACUGCUUUUGUACGGAACGAAAAGCCUUCUUUUAAUACAGGAGGGUCAUGACGGUACCGUAAGAAUAAGCACCGGCUAACUACGUG
RNAcentral lists this ribosomal RNA (482 nucleotides) under uncultured bacterium. RNAcentral's name for it is "partial 16S ribosomal RNA". It matches the Rfam family "Bacterial small subunit ribosomal RNA", at positions 30 to 507 of the family's 1533-position model. The record is from RNAcentral.